AGAGGCAUGUAUGUGUUAAGGGAAAGAGGCCCUGGGAGCCAGGAAUGCAGGGCAGAUCAGAUCGAGCCAAAUCAGGAAUCGAAGUUCUCACAGUCACUACUGAGCCCAGGGAUAGACCAAGGUACUGGGAAUGGAACCUGGGACUUGACACAUGUGAGAUUCCAAUACUUGGUUACUAUUCCUGUGAUUAAAUACGAUGCUGUGGGUCUAGCUCAGUGUGGAACAUUCGCCAACAUGCACAAGGCUCUGGGGUUGAGAAGAAAGGAAAAAGGGAGCAAGAAAUUCAAGCUGAGAUGUAGGUGAGUUGGUGGUGCUCUGUUGGCCAGAAGGCUAAGUGCCCUGACUGGAGCUUGCAGAGAGAGGCCUCAACCAAAUCUGUCCACGUCACUCAUCUGCCUUGUUUCAGCUACAGGCUGACCCCUGUAGUCGGAGGUGCAGUGGAGGAAGGUGGGUCUGGCUGUUAUCAGAAUGUGGUUAAGACAGGGUAGUAGUGUACCCCAAUUGGGUAGAGAAGGACAAACUUAUCAAAACACAAGAAAAACACUGACGUGCUAAGAAGAGAUGCCACUGGAUUUAAAAUGAAGCGUCACAGAAAGUCCUGUGUGCAGGAACAGUGUCAUUGAAGGACUAGCAGAAGAUCUAACUGCAAGCUAGACAGUGGUGAACAGGACUCCAGAGGGAUAACCAAAGGUAAAUGAAACAUUGGCC
RNAcentral lists this long non-coding RNA (708 nucleotides) under Mus spretus (western wild mouse). RNAcentral describes it as "lncRNA (ENSMSPG00010030317.1)". The record is from RNAcentral. Lineage: Eukaryota; Metazoa; Chordata; Mammalia; Rodentia; Muridae.